GUAAUAGUUAAGUUCUUGAAACCCAAAGAAUUUGGCGGUAUCUUAUUCUUUUUAGAGGAACCUGUCCUGUAAUUGAUAUUCCACGAUGGUGAAUUACUUACUCUUGUAUUCAUUUUGUAUACCUCCGUCAUCAGAGUAUCUUUUUAGAGUAAAUAUUCUAUGCAUAUUAAGUAUAUUAUGUCAGGUCAAGGUGCAAUUUAUGAGUAAGUAGAGAUGGGUUACAAUAAUAUUACUUAUACGAAUUAGUAUUUUAUUUGUACUAUGAAGGUGGAUUUAAAAGUAAAGUUAAGUUCCUUUUUAACUUGAUUUUAGCUCUAGGAUAUGCACACAUCGCCCG
Molecule: ribosomal RNA, 337 nt
Filed under: Brachydiplax denticauda
Lineage: Eukaryota; Metazoa; Arthropoda; Insecta; Odonata; Libellulidae
Description: partial 12S ribosomal RNA
Source: RNAcentral